Molecule: long non-coding RNA, 188 nt
Organism: Mauremys reevesii (Reeves's turtle)
Lineage: Eukaryota; Metazoa; Chordata; Testudines; Geoemydidae
Exons: 3
Source: RefSeq, a predicted model, not a curated record
UGCGAGCUCCGCUGGGGGCGGGAGAACAAAGCUGCUGCUGCUGCUGCCGCCUCCGUGUGAGCCGGCUGCAGAAUGACGUCCAUGUUUCGCUCCAGCUCAUCACAUCCUCCUAUGGGACAUAGGAGAGAAAUGGCUGAAGUGGAGCCAGCUAAGGGUUUCCAGUUUCCCAACCUGAUGUGAUCUCCCAG